This 483-nucleotide ribosomal RNA is filed under the name uncultured Bacillota bacterium. Its description in RNAcentral is "bacterial SSU rRNA". It matches the Rfam family "Bacterial small subunit ribosomal RNA", at positions 355 to 830 of the family's 1533-position model. Lineage: Bacteria; Bacillati; Bacillota. The record is from RNAcentral.
UAGGGAAUCUUCCGCAAUGGGCGAAAGCCUGACGGAGCAACGCCGCGUGAGUGAUGAAGGUCUUCGGAUCGUAAAACUCUGUUAUUAGGGAAGAACAAAUGUGUAAGUAACUGUGCACGUCUUGACGGUACCUAAUCAGAAAGCCACGGCUAACUACGUGCCAGCAGCCGCGGUAAUACGUAGGUGGCAAGCGUUAUCCGGAAUUAUUGGGCGUAAAGCGCGCGUAGGCGGUUUCUUAAGUCUGAUGUGAAAGCCCACGGCUCAACCGUGGAGGGUCAUUGGAAACUGGGAAACUUGAGUGCAGAAGAGGAAAGUGGAAUUCCAUGUGUAGCGGUGAAAUGCGCAGAGAUAUGGAGGAACACCAGUGGCGAAGGCGACUUUCUGGUCUGUAACUGACGCUGAUGUGCGAAAGCGUGGGGAUCAAACAGGAUUAGAUACCCUGGUAGUCCACGCCGUAAACGAUGAGUGCUAAGUGUUAGGGGG